This 89-nucleotide transfer RNA is filed under the name Caldifarciminota bacterium. RNAcentral's name for it is "tRNA-Ser". It matches the Rfam family "tRNA". From Rfam's summary of the family: Transfer RNA (tRNA) molecules are approximately 80 nucleotides in length. Their secondary structure includes four short double-helical elements and three loops (D, anti-codon, and T loops). The record is from RNAcentral. Lineage: Bacteria; Pseudomonadati; Caldifarciminota. RNAcentral also lists the same sequence under 1 other name.
GGAGGGAUGGCUGAGUGGCUAAAAGCGCACGACUCGAAAUCGUGUUUCCAUUUUAUCGUGGAUCGGGGGUUCAAAUCCCUCUCCCUCCG